Molecule: ribosomal RNA, 420 nt
Filed under: uncultured bacterium
Lineage: Bacteria
Description: bacterial SSU rRNA
Rfam family: Bacterial small subunit ribosomal RNA
Source: RNAcentral
GGGGAAUCUUCCGCAAUGGGCGAAAGCCUGACGGAGCAAUACCGCGUGUGGGAGGAAGGCCCUUGGGUCGUAAACCACUUUUCUUAGGGAAGAAGAUCUGACGGUACCUAAGGAAUAAGCCUCGGCUAACUCCGUGCCAGCAGCCGCGGUAAUACGGAGGAGGCAAGCGUUAUCCGGAAUUAUUGGGCGUAAAGAGUCCGUAGGUGGUUAAUCAAGUCUGCUGUUAAAGGCGGAAGCUCAACUUCCGACAGGCAGUGGAAACUGGUUAACUAGAGAAUGGUAGGGGUAGAGGGAAUUCCCAGUGUAGCGGUGAAAUGCGUAGAGAUUGGGAAGAACAUCGGUGGCGAAAGCGCUCUACUGGGCCAUUACUGACACUGAGGGACGAAAGCUAGGGUAGCGAAAGGCAUUAGAUACCCCUGU